UACGGAGGGUGCAAGCGUUAGUCGGAAUUACUGGGCGUAAAGGGUGCGUAGGCGGGGAUGUAAGUCAGAUGUGAAAUACCGUUGCUCAACAACGGCCGUGCAUCUGAAACUGCGUUUCUAGAGGGAUAGCGGAGAAAACGGAAUUCCAUGUGUAGCGGUGAAAUGCGUAGAUAUAUGGAAGAACACCUGUGGCGAAAGCGGUUUUCUAGCUCAACCCUGACGCUGAGGCACGAAAGCAAGGGGAGCAAACAGG
This 253-nucleotide ribosomal RNA is filed under the name uncultured bacterium. Its description in RNAcentral is "partial 16S ribosomal RNA". It matches the Rfam family "Bacterial small subunit ribosomal RNA", at positions 524 to 776 of the family's 1533-position model. The record is from RNAcentral.